AUUAGCUAGUUGGUGAGGUAACGGCUCACCAAGGCGACGAUCAGUAGCCGACCUGAGAGGGUGAUCGGCCACAUUGGAACUGAGACACGGUCCAAACUCCUACGGGAGGCAGCAGUGGGGAAUAUUGCACAAUGGGCGAAAGCCUGAUGCAGCAACGCCGCGUGAGCGAUGAAGGCCUUCGGGUCGUAAAGCUCUGUCCUCAAGGAAGAUAAUGACGGUACUUGAGGAGGAAGCCCCGGCUAACUACGUGCCAGCAGCCGCGGUAAUACGUAGGGGGCUAGCGUUAUCCGGAUUUACUGGGCGUAAAGGGUGCGUAGGCGGUCUUUUAAGUCAGGAGUGAAAGGCUACGGCUCAACCGUAGUAAGCUCUUGAAACUGGAGGACUUGAGUGCAGGAGAGGAGAGUGGAAUUCCUAGUGUAGCGGUGAAAUGCGUAGAUAUUAGGAGGAACACCAGUAGCGAAGGCGGCUCUCUGGACUGUAACUGACGCUGAGGCACG
Molecule: ribosomal RNA, 497 nt
Filed under: uncultured Clostridium sp.
Lineage: Bacteria; Bacillati; Bacillota; Clostridia; Eubacteriales; Clostridiaceae
Description: bacterial SSU rRNA
Rfam family: Bacterial small subunit ribosomal RNA
Source: RNAcentral